CGUUAUGCAGCACUAAGGGGCGGAAACCCCCUAACACUUAGCACUCAUCGUUUACGGCGUGGACUACCAGGGUAUCUAAUCCUGUUUGAUCCCCACGCUUUCGCACAUCAGCGUCAGUUACAGACCAGAAAGUCGCCUUCGCCACUGGUGUUCCUCCAUAUCUCUGCGCAUUUCACCGCUACACAUGGAAUUCCACUUUCCUCUUCUGUACUCAAGUUUCCCAGUUUCCAAUGACCCUCCACGGUUGAGCCGUGGGCUUUCACAUCAGACUUAAGAAACCGCCUACGCGCGCUUUACGCCCAAUAAUUCCGGAUAACGCUUGCCACCUACGUAUUACCGCGGCUGCUGGCACGUAGUUAGCCGUGGCUUUCUGAUUAGGUACCGUCAAGAUGUGCACAGUUACUUACACAUUUGUUCUUCCCUAAUAACAGAGUUUUACGAUCCGAAAACCUUCAUCACUCACGCGGCGUUGCUCCGUCAGACUUUCGUCCAUUGCGGAAGAUUCCCUACUGCUGCCUCCCGUAGGAGUCUGGACCGUGUCUCAGUUCCAGUGUGGCCGAUCACCCUCUCAGGUCGGCUACGUAUCGUUGCCUUGGUAAGCCGUUACCUUACCAACUAGCUAAUACGGCGCGGGUCCAUCUAUAAGUGAUAGCAAAACCAUCUUUUACUUUAGAACCAUGCGGUUCCAAAUGUUAUCCGGCAUUAGCUCCGGUUUCCCGAAGUUAUUCCAGUCUUAUAGGUAGGUUACCACGUGUU
This 756-nucleotide ribosomal RNA is filed under the name Staphylococcus sp. G5III. RNAcentral's name for it is "partial 16S ribosomal RNA". Lineage: Bacteria; Bacillati; Bacillota; Bacilli; Caryophanales; Staphylococcaceae. The record is from RNAcentral.